This 233-nucleotide ribosomal RNA is filed under the name uncultured bacterium. RNAcentral's name for it is "partial 16S ribosomal RNA". It matches the Rfam family "Bacterial small subunit ribosomal RNA", at positions 977 to 1208 of the family's 1533-position model. The record is from RNAcentral.
AGCCCUUGACAUGGCAGGACGGUUUCCAGAGAUGGAUUCCUUCACUUCGGUGACUUGCACACAGGUGCUGCAUGGCUGUCGUCAGCUCGUGUCGUGAGAUGUUGGGUUAAGUCCCGCAACGAGCGCAACCCUCGCCUUUAGUUGCCAUCAUUUAGUUGGGCACUCUAGAGGGACUGCCGGUGAUAAGCCGGAGGAAGGUGGGGAUGACGUCAAGUCUUCAUGGCCCUUACGGG